GGAAGGUAGCGUCCAAUGGUGGGCAAGCGGUCUAGAAAGCCGUGCCGGGUGUGACAGCCUGGGGGUUCGAUUCCUCUACUUUCCUC
This 86-nucleotide transfer RNA is filed under the name Streptomyces phage FlowerPower. RNAcentral describes it as "tRNA-Ser". It matches the Rfam family "tRNA". Rfam says of the family: Transfer RNA (tRNA) molecules are approximately 80 nucleotides in length. Their secondary structure includes four short double-helical elements and three loops (D, anti-codon, and T loops). RNAcentral also lists the same sequence under 4 other names. Lineage: Duplodnaviria; Heunggongvirae; Uroviricota; Caudoviricetes. The record is from RNAcentral.